Molecule: ribosomal RNA, 255 nt
Filed under: uncultured bacterium
Lineage: Bacteria
Description: partial 16S ribosomal RNA
Rfam family: Bacterial small subunit ribosomal RNA
Source: RNAcentral
CGCACGGGUGAGUAACACGUAUCCAACCCGCCGAUGACUCGGGGAUAGCCUUUCGAAAGAAAGAUUAAUACCCGAUGGCAUAGUUCUUCCGCAUGGUGGAACUAUUAAAGAAUUUCGGUCAUCGAUGGGGAUGCGUUCCAUUAGGUUGUUGGCGGGGUAACGGCCCACCAAGCCUUCGAUGGAUAGGGGUUCUGAGAGGAAGGUCCCCCACAUUGGAACUGAGACACGGUCCAAACUCCUACGGGAGGCAGCAUG